CCUGGACAUUUUUGUGAAUAGGCAUUCCUGGUUCUUGGGCCUUUGGACAUGGACAUGGACUUAUCCCAUUGGCGGCCCUGAAUCUCAGGCCUUUGGGUUUGGACUAAAAUGAUAGCACUGGCUUACCUGGACCUCUAGUUUGUAGAAAGCAGAUAGCCUUCU
This 162-nucleotide long non-coding RNA is filed under the name Callithrix jacchus (white-tufted-ear marmoset). Its description in RNAcentral is "lncRNA (ENSCJAG00000072932.1)". Lineage: Eukaryota; Metazoa; Chordata; Mammalia; Primates; Cebidae. The record is from RNAcentral.